UUCUAAUAAAAUAAUUAUUAGUAAAAUCUGCUCAAUGAAACUUCAAUAGCCGCAGACAUCUGUGCUAAGGUAGCAUAAUCAUUUGUCUUUUAAUUUUAGACUAGAAUGAAAGAUUUAACAUUUCAAAAAAUUUAUUAAUUUUAAAUUUUUAAUUUAUCUUAAAUAUAAAAAGAUAUUUAUACCAUAAAAAGACAACAAGACCCUAUUGAACUUAACUUUAGUUAAACUGGGGAAGUUAAUUAAUUAAAAUUUUAAUUUUAGUUCAAUUUCAAAAAACCCAAUAUUAUUGAAAUAAUCAAGUUACCAUAGGGAUAACAGCAUAAUAUUUUUUUAAAGAUCUUAUUAUAAAAAAAGAUUAUGACCUCGAUGUUGAAUAAAUAUCCUAUUUCAUGCAAGAAUAAAUCAAGGAAGUCUGUUCGACUUUUAAUUAUUUACA
RNAcentral lists this ribosomal RNA (436 nucleotides) under Subasteron daviesae. Its description in RNAcentral is "partial 16S ribosomal RNA". The record is from RNAcentral. Lineage: Eukaryota; Metazoa; Arthropoda; Arachnida; Araneae; Zodariidae.